GGGAAACGCAUGCGCUCGCUCCGGCGCCCGAAUAAAGUUCCUUGGAUGUCGCUGUGCUUGGAAGAAAGUUGUGGGUUGGCCUCAACACUGCCUCUUGUGUGCUUGGGCUUGGCACGUGGGCAAGAACAGGCGUGAAGUGCAGGCAUACGAGACAAGAGCCUGAGAGCCUUUACAUGCAAGGUAUUGGCAGCGAGGAGUUACGGAGUCGCCAUCUAUCGGAAGUGCCUGGCUGGCGUAGUAUGAGGGAUCACGCGGCGCGCUCCUCAUAGGUUUUGCUGUCAACGCUCACUGAAAACACCACGCGCGAGCUCUCCCGGACAUUUCUAUGCUAUCUCUUUACCGAAUAUGUACAGUGAACGCCACUAUGCGCGGUCGCCACGAUGGAGUCUCCCGAACCGGCUUCUUGCAUGAAAGGCCUGUAGGACCAACAUGCUUGCUUCAGAUGAGGGGACACUCGAGAAGGAAAUUGAACACUUCUUCUAUAAAUGCUGUGAUCAGGAAUCCAAAGAUGAACCAGGCCUCCUCAAUUUCGGAAGAUACUUUGCAAACCAUUAUGCACCACAGGCUGAAAGCUGGGCUACGUGUUUUAGAAAGAGCGUAGGCAUAGACACAAACAUGUGUUUGUGUUUAUGCUUAAGUACUGCUACCCACAUGGCGAAACGAACGAAAGAGUGGGCACGUUAAUAUCAGUACUUCUAAAGCCGACAAGAGAUAGGAUAUUCGACCGCCUUGCAAAAUUUGAAUGUUGCAACCUGAUCAGACACACAGAAGGCCUAACCAUCGAACCUGACCAAGUCAGUGGUGUAGCUUUCCAUCAGUGGUCAGUAUUUUCACGAACAUACCCCAAGACAAAAUAUGCUGUGGUGCUAGAAAGCAAGUGCAGCAAUGCAUGCAGAUUUGCAUGCCCCAAAUGCAGUCUGUAUGCACAAGGUCAUGUGUUCUCGUGCAGACAACAAGCCAGGCAGAAACCUCUGUAAGCACAUCCACACUGUUUGCCAGUGGAACUGCAAGAAGCAACAAUCUGGAGAUUGACACGGGCGACGGGACAUACCAUAGAUGUGUUUACAGAACAUUUAUGAAAUUUUCAGAAUAUGGUUUACUUUUGGAGCUGCCACAAAAUACAUCUUAAGCUCCUUCGGGGCAAUAAACAUUUCCAUUUGGCAGAGAAAACACCCUUUCAAGAAAGUUGCAGACAGUUCUGAAAAGGAAAUGGUUCUGCCUUACAGUGCCUUCAAAGUGGAAACUCCCUAGUCCAGGCACCUUUUGUGGCAAAGGUGUAUAUUCUGUGUGCAAACAGGUAUGUAAUGUACAGGGGAUGGCAAUAAAGACUAGUUGUAAGUCAGUGCC
This is a long non-coding RNA of Dermacentor albipictus, 1347 nucleotides long. RefSeq lists it as uncharacterized. The record is from RefSeq and is a predicted model, not a curated record. Lineage: Eukaryota; Metazoa; Arthropoda; Arachnida; Ixodida; Ixodidae.